Long non-coding RNA from Budorcas taxicolor (takin), 574 nucleotides. RefSeq lists it as uncharacterized. The transcript is spliced from 3 exons. The record is from RefSeq and is a predicted model, not a curated record. Lineage: Eukaryota; Metazoa; Chordata; Mammalia; Artiodactyla; Bovidae.
GGGGACCCUGUAGUGGGUAGGAGGGUGGAUUUCUGCCUUCGUGAAGCUCACAGGCUGGCGGGGGAGGCAGAGAGAGAAGCAGCUCCCAAUAGGCUGGAGGGCAGGGGAAGCAGACCCUCACAACAAGCGGUGCUCUUGAAGCUCAGUUCGUGCUCUGGGACAAGAAUGUGACUCUAAGGACUGCCUUGCUAACCUUGGAAGCAAAAAGUCUCCGUGGGGAUUAUUCACUGGCAUCACUGGUCUCUCUAGCGAGCUGUGCUUCCCAUUCGUCCGUUAUGCACAGGAAAUGCCAGGCUGUGCCAAUGGCAAUUGCAAUGGUGAAGGGCACAAGUGAUUCUCAUAAGACCUCGACAAUUAGGACACAGCUGACCUGAGGGAACACAGCAUGGGGAACGAGGGGCCCUCAGAGAAGCGUGCUAGACAACCUGCAACAGAAUCGCUGGAGAACUUGUUAAAAAUACAAAAUCCAAGGACUUCCGUGGAGGUCCAGUGGCUAAGACUCCACACUCCCAAUCAAUGCAAGGGGCCUAGGUUCGAUCCCUGAUCAGGGAACUAGAUCCCAAGGGCCGCAAGU